GAUGAACGCUGGCGGCGUGCCUAAUACAUGCAAGUCGAGCGAACAGACGAGGAGCUUGCUCCUUUGACGUUAGCGGCGGACGGGUGAGUAACACGUGGGUAACCUACCUAUAAGACUGGGAUAACUUCGGGAAACCGGAGCUAAUACCGGAUAAUAUUUCGAACCGCAUGGUUCGAUAGUGAAAGAUGGCUUUGCUAUCACUUAUAGAUGGACCUGCGCCGUAUUAGCUAGUUGGUAAGGUAACGGCUUACCAAGGCAACGAUACGUAGCCGACCUGAGAGGGUGAUCGGCCACACUGGAACUGAGACACGGUCCAGACUCCUACGGGAGGCAGCAGUAGGGAAUCUUCCGCAAUGGGCGAAAGCCUGACGGAGCAACGCCGCGUGAGUGAUGAAGGUCUUCGGAUCGUAAAACUCUGUUAUUAGGGAAGAACAAACGUGUAAGUAACUGUGCACGUCUUGACGGUACCUAAUCAGAAAGCCACGGCUAACUACAUG
Molecule: ribosomal RNA, 497 nt
Filed under: uncultured bacterium
Lineage: Bacteria
Description: partial 16S ribosomal RNA
Rfam family: Bacterial small subunit ribosomal RNA
Source: RNAcentral